This 544-nucleotide ribosomal RNA is filed under the name uncultured bacterium. RNAcentral describes it as "bacterial SSU rRNA". It matches the Rfam family "Bacterial small subunit ribosomal RNA", at positions 8 to 526 of the family's 1533-position model. The record is from RNAcentral.
AGAGUUUGAUCCUGGCUCAGAACGAACGUUGGCGGCGUGGAUUAGGCAUGCAAGUCGAACGCGAAAGAGGUAGCAAUACCUCGAGUAAAGUGGCGAACGGGUGAGUAACGCGUAGGAAACCUGCCUUCGAGUGGGGGAUAACAUUCCUAACGGGAUGCUAAUACCGCAUGUGACUACGGAGUCGCAUGGCUCUGUAGUGAAAGGUGGCCUCUGUUUACAAGCUACCGCUCAAAGAUGGUCCUGCGUCCCAUUAGCUAGUUGGUGGGGUAACGGCCUACCAAGGCGACGAUGGGUAGCCGAUCUGAGAGGAUGACCGGCCACACUGGGACUGAGAUGCGGCCCAGACUCCUACGGGAGGCAGCAGUCGAGAGGCUUCGGCAAUGGGGGAAACCCUGACCGAGCGACGCCGCGUGGAGGAUGAAGGCCUUUGGGUUGUAAACUCCUGUCAUGAGGGAAGAAACGUCACCGUUCGAAUAGGGCGGUGACUUGACGGUACCUCAAGAGGAAGCUCCGGCUAACUCCGUGCCAGCCGCCGCGGUAAUAC